UACGGGGGGAGCAAGCGUUGUUCGGAUUUACUGGGCGUAAAGGGCGCGUAGGCGGUCGUGACAAGUCACUUGUGAAAUCUCCGGGCUUAACUCGGAACGGUCAAGUGAUACUGUCGGACUAGAGUACAGAAGGGGCAACUGGAAUUCUCGGUGUAGCGGUGAAAUGCGUAGAUAUCGUCUGGAACGCCAAAGGUGAAAACAGGUCGCUGGGGCUGAGCUGACGCUGAGACACGAAAGCCAGGGGAGCGAACGGG
RNAcentral lists this ribosomal RNA (254 nucleotides) under uncultured bacterium. Its description in RNAcentral is "partial 16S ribosomal RNA". It matches the Rfam family "Bacterial small subunit ribosomal RNA", at positions 524 to 776 of the family's 1533-position model. The record is from RNAcentral.